GGAAACAGAGGACUUCUCUGGAAGUCCUUUCCUGACCUGACUCUCCAGCCAGCGUCAAGAUCCCUUCUUCUCAGCCCCCACAGCUCUGUCUGUCCGGGCUGAUCUGGACUUAUUUACAGAACUGAGACAGUAGUAAUUAAUAAGGUUGUAGGGUAGCAUGGGAAGUAAUGAGCAUCCUGUUGGUCAAAGAGAACAAGAAUGAGGUAGUGAUCCUCAGACAAAGAGCCUUGUGGUGAGAGUGCACACAGGUGGGUGCACUCACUCCCCCCAGAGUCCAAGAGGCUUGAAGCCCUGAACCUUGAGCAGUAAAAGACUGUGGUGUAUGGCAAAGCAUAGUGCUGCGUGCUGUGCCAUGUCUUUCCUCUCUCUGAUCCCUGCUCCUCAUCCAUAAAACAGAGAUUACCGCACCUAACACACAAGGCACCAUUCUCUCCUUUGCAUUAUCCCCUUCUCAUUUUGAGCCAGACACAUGGAUGGAUACCUGGAAGAGAUUCCAUGUCCCAGUCUGCCUGACAGUGAAAUGCCGCCAAGUGACUGAGUUGUCGUCCAAGGGAUGUGGGCAGAAAUGACAGGUCUAAUUCUGUGCUUUUUCUCCUCACACAGUCCUGGGAUUCUGAGGGCUGGAGUGCUGAGCCACACUGGACUGCAGAUGAUGCCUAACAACAGUGGAAAAGAAGGGAAAGGGCCCCAGUCCUUCACAGCUCCCCGGAGCAGAGUGCCUGCCCCAGUGACCCUCGGAUCCCCCUUUACACGAGCCUGGGGAGACACCAUACUCACCAUGAUGACUUUCCUCAGAAACUGCCAGACAGCCCCUGGCGAGGUGGGUGCUUCUCUCCAGGGAAACUGCUAUACUGCCCUGCUCUGGGGGCUGCUGCCUCUUUGGAAGCCACCCUGGAUGGAAGUUAAGAAGUUUUCUUCAGGAUGUCUUUGAAGAAGGAACCCAUGGUACCUAGAAGCGGGCAAGACUCAUGGAGACAAAGCUGAGACAUCAACAGAAAUUAACCACUUUACAGAGGUCACUGGCAGUGUCCACCCCCUGUGUUGGAGUUAACUCCAUGCAGGACAGGGGUUAGGUCUUCCUGGUCUGUGUAUAUACAGUAUUAAGAACAGGGCUGCAUGUAACAGGUGUUUCUGCAGAAAUGAGUGACACUGUGGGAGAUCCGGAGAACCUGUUGAACCAUACUUGAUCCAUCUCUCAUAUUUUACAGAUAGCUUGGCAAGGGAAUGAGGCUUUCCCUCCAAGAUCACACAGAAUCAGUGAUGCAUCCAGACCUGUAACCCACCCUCUCAGACUCCAUGUACUCCUUCCAUAGUAUCUGCUUGACCAUUUUAUUAAAGGAAUUCAGAAACACCUUUGGGGUUUUCUUUCUCAGCACACUGCACCACACUUGGCCCAAAUACACACUGACUAAGUGUUUGCUGAACUGUACCACAAAACCUCAUCUGUGCUUGGAGCUUGAUGAAACCCAUCUUGGCAGGCCUGCACUCUUGGUGGUCUCUCUCCCAUCUUCAGACUCGUCAGGAAGGACAAGUCAGGGUGGAGUGAUUGCUGGGUCAGGAUGACCUGUGAAUUUCCAGCUGUGGAGGCAUUUCCAGGCCAGGGGUGGUGAUCGCCAAAGACACAAAUAAGCAUGUCCUUUGUGCCCCAAGGGUCAGCAAUCUGGAGAGACAAGUCCCCCCAUGGGCUUGUGGGAUGAGCAGAGGCUUCCUGACCCUUCCUGGAUUCUUCCCAACACUCCCUAGACCUCCAAAGGAUCUUCUGACAAUAAUACCCAAAUUACUUCUGACAAGAGAGAAAACACCAAGUCCCCAUCUCCCUCCAGUCAUCUCUCUCUUCCCACUUACCUAUGUGGUGGCGUUUCCACUCUUUUUAAACAUUAAUUGGGAUUUUUGUUAUACGUUACAAAGAUCCUUCUGAGAACCUGAUAAUGUAGGGUAAGUGAAGCCAGCUAUCUAUGAAUCCCUUCGCUCCAUGAUCUUGUAUCUGAAAAGCACCUACUGCGU
Fukomys damarensis (Damara mole-rat) is the source of this 2004-nucleotide long non-coding RNA. NCBI's taxonomy places the organism in Eukaryota, Metazoa, Chordata, Mammalia, Rodentia, Bathyergidae. The record is from Ensembl.